RNAcentral lists this ribosomal RNA (253 nucleotides) under uncultured bacterium. Its description in RNAcentral is "partial 16S ribosomal RNA". It matches the Rfam family "Bacterial small subunit ribosomal RNA", at positions 524 to 776 of the family's 1533-position model. The record is from RNAcentral.
UACGUAGGUGGCAAGCGUUGUCCGGAAUUAUUGGGCGUAAAGCGCGCGCAGGCGGUCCUUUAAGUCUGAUGUGAAAGCCCACGGCUCAACCGUGGAGGGUCAUUGGAAACUGGGGGACUUGAGUACAGAAGAGAAGAGUGGAAUUCCACGUGUAGCGGUGAAAUGCGUAGAGAUGUGGAGGAACACCAGUGGCGAAGGCGACUCUUUGGUCUGUAACUGACGCCGAGGCGCGAAAGCGUGGGGAGCAAACAGG